This 98-nucleotide ribosomal RNA is filed under the name Acanthosepion pharaonis. Lineage: Eukaryota; Metazoa; Mollusca; Cephalopoda; Sepiida; Sepiidae. The record is from RNAcentral.
UCAAACCACUGGUUCUCUUACAAUCACCAAAGUUAAGCAACAUCGAGCCUAGCCAGUACCUAGAUGGGUGACCAUUUAGGAAGACCAGGUGCUGUAAG